Rattus norvegicus (Norway rat) is the source of this 69-nucleotide non-coding RNA. NCBI's taxonomy places the organism in Eukaryota, Metazoa, Chordata, Mammalia, Rodentia, Muridae. The record is from Rfam.
GGGGAUUUAGCUCAGUGGUAGAGCGCUUGCCUAGCAAGCACAAGGCCCUGGGUUCGGUCCUCAGCUCCA